AAGCGGAAGCUGCAGCCCGGCUGCACCGUGGUCUGCGGAGCUGCUGCUUCCCGGGUCUGGGUCGGCUGAGUCACGGCCCGGCCCGGCCCGGCCUAGCGAGGGCGCGUGCCCGCCGCCCCGAAGCAGCUGCCACCCGGACCUUGGGACCUCUGCACUUGACUUUUCCGGCCGGGCACAAAACCUUCGGCCGUUGCCGUAGCGACUGGCAGUCUAGCGAAUACCCCCUUCACUUUUUAUCGUCCUCCUUUCUCAGUUCAUUGUUUGGUUAUUUUAGGGUCAGUCCGAUGACCCUAUAGGUCGGGCUUGGAGGGCGCCGGCUCUCUGGCGGCAGACUGCCCUCGUCUGGGCGCUGGGCAGCCGGCGGCCUCCGCGGUCUCCAUGGUAACGGCCCGGCCGGCGUCUCUGCCUCGGGGGGAAGAUGCGGCCUGCCGGGUCCGCCGCCUCGCCCCCGGCCUCACGGGAGGGCCGGGGCCACUGAGAAGGCAGGUCCCGGCCGCCGGACGGCGGGGCGUUGGUCGCCAGUGAAAUCUCGUUCUCUGGCUGGAGACACAGAUGGCCUCAAAUGAGAGAGAUGCUAUAUCGUGGUACCAAAAGAAGAUUGGAGCAUAUGAUCAGCAGAUAUGGGAAAAGUCAAUCGAACAGACACAGAUUAAGGUA
Long non-coding RNA from Capra hircus (goat), 657 nucleotides. RefSeq lists it as uncharacterized. Lineage: Eukaryota; Metazoa; Chordata; Mammalia; Artiodactyla; Bovidae. The record is from RefSeq and is a predicted model, not a curated record. The transcript has 3 exons.